GCUGAUGUUUCUUUCCUGAGUUGCUCUCUGAAACUUAAUUACUUCAAAGCACCAAUCCGUAUGAAUACUGAAUAAUAUCCCAUGCCCCCACCAAAAUGCUUACUGGAAAAAUGGUUCUUGCAAGGAGUUGUAGGCCGAAAUAUGGAAGAGUUUAUGCAAGGGCAAAGUGUUCACCAUUGAUUAUUAAGAUUGUUAAAUAUGUAGAAAAGGUUCCAGUUGGGACCUAAGAUUAUAUAAUUCUCCUCUUGUUUUCUCACUGCUAU
This 263-nucleotide long non-coding RNA is filed under the name Elaeis guineensis (African oil palm). RNAcentral's name for it is "long non-coding RNA (EGUI_LNC013640)". The record is from RNAcentral. Lineage: Eukaryota; Viridiplantae; Streptophyta; Magnoliopsida; Arecales; Arecaceae.